RNAcentral lists this ribosomal RNA (1340 nucleotides) under uncultured bacterium. Its description in RNAcentral is "bacterial SSU rRNA". It matches the Rfam family "Bacterial small subunit ribosomal RNA", at positions 28 to 1381 of the family's 1533-position model. The record is from RNAcentral.
GACGAACGCUGGCGGCGUGCUUAACACAUGCAAGUCGAACGGAAAGGCCCCUUCGGGGGUACUCGAGUGGCGAACGGGUGAGUAACACGUGGGUGAUCUGCCCUGCACUUCGGGAUAAGCCUGGGAAACUGGGUCUAAUACCGGAUAGGACCACGGGAUGCAUGUCCUGUGGUGGAAAGCUUUUGCGGUGUGGGAUGGGCCCGCGGCCUAUCAGCUUGUUGGUGGGGUGACGGCCUACCAAGGCGACGACGGGUAGCCGGCCUGAGAGGGUGUCCGGCCACACUGGGACUGAGAUACGGCCCAGACUCCUACGGGAGGCAGCAGUAGGGAAUAUUGCACAAUGGGCGCAAGCCUGAUGCAGCGACGCCGCGUGGGGGAUGACGGCCUUCGGGUUGUAAACCUCUUUCAGCAGGGACGAAGCGCAAGUGACGGUACCUGCAGAAGAAGCACCGGCCAACUACGUGCCAGCAGCCGCGGUAAUACGUAGGGUGCGAGCGUUGUCCGGAAUUACUGGGCGUAAAGAGCUCGUAGGUGGUUUGUCGCGUUGUUCGUGAAAACCGGGGGCUUAACCCUCGGCGUGCGGGCGAUACGGGCAGACUGGAGUACUGCAGGGGAGACUGGAAUUCCUGGUGUAGCGGUGGAAUGCGCAGAUAUCAGGAGGAACACCGGUGGCGAAGGCGGGUCUCUGGGCAGUAACUGACGCUGAGGAGCGAAAGCGUGGGGAGCGAACAGGAUUAGAUACCCUGGUAGUCCACGCCGUAAACGGUGGGUACUAGGUGUGGGUUUCCUUCCUUGGGAUCCGUGCCGUAGCCAACGCAUUAAGUACCCCGCCUGGGGAGUACGGCCGCAAGGCUAAAACUCAAAGGAAUUGACGGGGGCCCGCACAAGCGGCGGAGCAUGUGGAUUAAUUCGAUGCAACGCGAAGAACCUUACCUGGGUUUGACUUGCACAGGACGCCGGCAGAGAUGUCGGUUCCCUUGUGGCCUGUGUGCAGGUGGUGCAUGGCUGUCGUCAGCUCGUGUCGUGAGAUGUUGGGUUAAGUCCCGCAACGAGCGCAACUCUUGUCUCAUGUUGCCAGCGGGUAAUGCCGGGGACUCGUGAGAGACUGCCGGGGUCAACUCGGAGGAAGGUGGGGAUGACGUCAAGUCAUCAUGCCCCUUAUGUCCAGGGCUUCACACAUGCUACAAUGGCCGGUACAAAGGGCUGCGAUGCCGCGAGGCUUAGCGAAUCCUUUUAAAGCCGGUCUCAGUUCGGAUCGGGGUCUGCAACUCGACCCCGUGGAGUCGGAGUCGCUAGUAAUCGCAGAUCAGCAACGCUGCGGUGAAUACGUUCCCGGGCCU